RNAcentral lists this ribosomal RNA (490 nucleotides) under uncultured bacterium. RNAcentral's name for it is "partial 16S ribosomal RNA". It matches the Rfam family "Bacterial small subunit ribosomal RNA", at positions 28 to 507 of the family's 1533-position model. The record is from RNAcentral.
GAUGAACGCUAGCGGCAGGCCUAAUACAUGCAAGUCGAACGGGAUCCAGAUCAAAGCUUGCUUUGGUUUGGUGAGAGUGGCGCACGGGUGCGUAACGCGUGAGCAACCUACCCUUGUCAGGGGGAUAGCCCGGCGAAAGUCGGAUUAAUACCGCAUGACAUCAUUGAGAGGCAUCUUUCGAUGAUCAAAGAUUUAUCGGACAAGGAUGGGCUCGCGUGACAUUAGCUAGUUGGUAAGGUAACGGCUUACCAAGGCUACGAUGUCUAGGGGCUCUGAGAGGAGAAUCCCCCACACUGGUACUGAGACCCGGACCAGACUCCUACGGGAGGCAGCAGUAAGGAAUAUUGGUCAAUGGACGGAAGUCUGAACCAGCCAUGCCGCGUGCAGGAAGACGGCCCUAUGGGUUGUAAACUGCUUUUAUACGGGAACAAACGUCGGUACGUGUACCGGUCUGAGUGUACCGUAAGAAUAAGAAUCGGCUAACUCCGUG